GAUUUCUAUGCUUAUAGGAUGAACGAUGUGGUUAUUGGGAGGAUAAGAAAAAUAAUAAAGACAAAGACCAUUUGGAAACACCCACACAUAGACAGUGGACAAAGGAAGAAAGAAAUGCUAACUAUAGAAAUAAGUUGUUUAUCCUGAAGAAAGUAAUUAUCAUUGUGCAGGAAGCACAAUGAGACAACAGCAGUUCAUCGAUAAGUAUUUGGAGGAAGCAAUUAACAGGAAUGAAUAAAAAUUUCCCUGUACAAGACACUUGAGUAUACCAGGCUGGUGUUAGUGGAUUCCAGAGAGCUUCCAUAACAGAAACAGAGGGAUGUUUAUGCAAAAUAUGAAAAUGAGUAAAAGUUUCUCCAAAAUUUGCAAAUCAGUAAGACUAUGAAGAUGUAUGAAGACCAGAAUUGCCAAGGCUUUUCAUGCUAUGUACAACAUGAAAAAAACUGAUACAAAAAAGCAAAAUCAUUUAUUUUCAAAGUGCAAAUACUACAGGGAGAAAAGUCAACUUUAAAGGUACUAUAACUAUAUCCAUACCUGUUUUGGUCCCUCUGAAUAUAUUACUUCUACUACCGUCGUCAUCCAUUAUGGCUUGGGAAGGGAACUAAGAAGAGAGGAAUAUGAUGUCAGUGGAACAGCAAAGCUUGCCUGCAUUUCCUCCCAGGAACAUAGGAGAACCAAGCGCUAGGCCUAGAGCCUAUGUGAAAUGUAUGAAUUGCUCUGCAGUCUGUAGGAGAGAGGAUAAGGUCCUUGUCCAAAUAUGCAAAGCCGCAUUCAACAACAGUAAAUCAACAUAAGAAUGCAGGGACAAGAUGAUGCAGAUACGCCCAAUUCAAAACAUUUGCAUUAAAGUGCACCUGAUCCAUAUAUGGUAGUUUGGAAGCUCAGAAGAAUUCAGUGAAUUCUGAUCAAUGCACGAGAUAUACAUGUACAGUUUAAAGGGAGCUCUGUAAAAUUAAGGAAGAGAUGCUGGCAAGAGGCCCACAAAGCACUGUCAGGUCCUGUCUUGCCAUGUCUCUCCUUGAAGUUGCCAGAGAGAGUGAUAAGAAAGACAGAAAAAAAUGAAGAAAGGGCAGAAGACUGAGAACAGGCAUCACUUGAAAGACCAUUGAGUUGUUUCUAUCACUUGCUGAAUUGCUCAGUUCCAUGUACAGUAAAUAAUUUUGCUAUCACUGCUGUCAUUGGUACAUUUAGUGGUUUGGGUGAUCUUUAUUUUGCUUCAAGAUGACCAUAUGAAGAAUCCAUGGAGUACAAAGGCAUGUUUUGCUUAACUUGAAUUCAGAUAGCUGCAGCUAUCUGCAGUGACUGCACUGGAAAGACACCUGAGAAUGUGAGUGCUUUUCCUGGAAUUAGAAAGCAAGGGUGAAUGUGAAGAAGACUGAAGGCCUUGAUAUUAAGGAAGUCAUUUAUAUGAAAUACAGCAUGCCAUCCCAACAAAUGAUAAAAACUCAUGACUGCUGAACCAGAAAUAUCUGACUCCUUACAAUAUUUAUUGCAAAGUAGUAGUUUCCAGUGAAAAUUCCUGUGACAAAAGUGAAGGGGCUAUCUGCUAUUUAGGGUAUAUGGCAGAUGGCAAUGGGUCAUGUAGUGUAUCUCCCUGAUACUGUUCAUUUUCCAGGCCAGUUGGUUACAUUUGACAGGUCUACUCAGAAAUCAUUAACCUGAUCUGCCCAUGUCUGUCAUGUCUCUAGCAUAAUGCAUCUUCAUGGUAUAAGGUAAACUGGGUACCUGGAGGGUAAAGGAAAUAAAAAAGACUCAUAGCCUAUAUAAAUCAAAAGAAAAAGGAGAAAAGGAAGCCACUUAGAAGAGUAGGUGUCAUUGAUUGACUGUAAUUUUAAAGGGUCUUUCUUAUGAUGGACAAAUUUCUGAAGUGUUCAUUAACUAAUGGAAUUAUGGUGGCUGACUGCUGCUGUCUCCACAGAACAUCAGGUUAAAAAGCACAGAUAAAUAAUGGGUUUUCCUUUAUUAUGGAUCAGUGUCCUCACUGUCUGGAGCUCAUGUGAAGAUGCUGUUAAGGAUUAAGGGGCUUUCAUUACUGAAAUUCAUGUUUAUGCUUUUCUGUUCCUCAAUAAUGGUAUACACAUGCACAAGGGAAUAGGAAGGGGGAAAAGAAGGGAAGAUGGAAAUGUUGCCAGCAGAGAAGAAAAUUAUUCUGAAAUGCUUGGUAAUAAAUGCUUUUCCUACUGCAAAACACCAAAUGAAACUGAACUCAGAGGGUUAAACAAUAGAGGCAUAGCACCUGGUCUUUAAUAUAUUCAAUUAUCCAGAAAACAAAAUCAAUUUUGUUUUUGUUAAUAGCACUGAAAUAUGCAUUACACUAUUUUAAUUAAAGCAGUCUAUUACGCUUGCAAUUCAGUUCAUUCCUGCAUAUUCCCCUAGGGCAGUAGUCAUGUACUGUGAUAAAACAUAAUGAAAAUAAUUUAUAAAAGAAACAAUACAAUAAAUCAAUCUGAUGCCUAAUGAACCUUCAUUACAAGGAUGGAUGCAAUAUUUUCUUAGAAUAUGUAGUGCUUUCUCCUUAAAUUAUUGGAAGAAUGCCUCAAAGCACUUAAAAAAAUAGCACCU
This 2562-nucleotide long non-coding RNA is filed under the name Gallus gallus (chicken). RNAcentral's name for it is "long non-coding RNA NONGGAT009206". The record is from RNAcentral. Lineage: Eukaryota; Metazoa; Chordata; Aves; Galliformes; Phasianidae.